UGGGGAAUUUUGGACAAUGGGGGAAACCCUGAUCCAGCCAUCCCGCGUGUGCGAUGAAGGCCUUCGGGUUGUAAAGCACUUUUGGCAGGAAAGAAACGUCAUGGGUUAAUACCCCGUGAAACUGACGGUACCUGCAGAAUAAGCACCGGCUAACUACGUGCCAGCAGCCGCGGUAAUACGUAGGGUGCAAGCGUUAAUCGGAAUUACUGGGCGUAAAGCGUGCGCAGGCGGUUCGGAAAGAAAGAUGUGAAAUCCCAGAGCUCAACUUUGGAACUGCAUUUUUAACUACCGGGCUAGAGUGUGUCAGAGGGAGGUGGAAUUCCGCGUGUAGCAGUGAAAUGAGUAGAUAUGCGGAGGAACACCGAUGGCGAAGGCAGCCUCCUGGGAUAACUCUGACGCUCAUGCACGAAAGCGUGGGGAGCAAACAGG
RNAcentral lists this ribosomal RNA (429 nucleotides) under Acidobacteriota bacterium. RNAcentral describes it as "Acidobacteria bacterium partial 16S ribosomal RNA". It matches the Rfam family "Bacterial small subunit ribosomal RNA", at positions 355 to 776 of the family's 1533-position model. The record is from RNAcentral. Lineage: Bacteria; Pseudomonadati; Acidobacteriota.